Molecule: long non-coding RNA, 795 nt
Organism: Bolinopsis microptera
Lineage: Eukaryota; Metazoa; Ctenophora; Tentaculata; Lobata; Bolinopsidae
Exons: 5
Source: RefSeq, a predicted model, not a curated record
ACCAUGGUAAAUGGUUCGACGAGAUUCCGUCGUCGAAAUUUAUGGUUUUGCAUAUUUGCACAGUGGAACUAUCAGGUUUAUUAAGUAUCAACGUCUUUAUCAACGCAGCUGCGCAUAAUUAUUCUACUUAGUUUAACUCUCUUUCUAUUUUAGCUGAAUUCCAUUCCCUCCCUCUUCGAGAUGAUUGCUUCCGUCAAUUGCGAAGGACUCGCUCAAGAUAGAGAGAUAAUAUUAAGACGAGCGGAUCGAUAAAUCGAAGAAUUAAUUCAUAAACUCGAUUGUGUUUCAUAUAGUUUCAUCUGCAAGAUGGUAGACUUCUUCACUUCUCAGUUCUCAAAGCUCGACGAUCUUCAUAUUAUAUUAUACUUAUAGGAUAAAGGUUGUUAUUUUAUUUUUUAAAUUAAGUACAUUCAUUUAACAAUUCACUUUAUUUGAUAGCUUCUUUUGAUUAACCCCUCCAAGCUCGAUAUUAUAUUUUAUCAUUAAUAUUAUCUGCCAUUUGUUCAAUUAGUUACAUUUCCAGGGUCAAAUUACAGAUAGUAAUUGAGAGCGGCUUUAGAAAUCAGGGAACGUGACCUAUACAUAGCAUAGAUUAUCUCUUAAUCAGCUGAAUUCUGUUCAACGAGUACAGUAGACACAAGAAAACCUCAAGAAAGCUUCUAGACUACUCCGCUUACUGUCACAACACUAUUCAACCAACGAGUUUUCGAAGAUUAUCACCCUGGGACACUCUUCUGCUUCAUUCUCAAGGCACAACACCACAACUUCAGAAGAUGCAAGGAGCGUGUUCUUAAC